AAGACCUUGCACUUUUGGAGCGGCCGAUGUCUGAUUAGCUAGUUGGUGGGGUAAUGGCCUACCAAAGCUUCGAUCAGUAGCUGGUCUGAGAGGACGGCCAGCCACACUGGGACUGAGACACGGCCCAGACUCCUACGGGAGGCAGCAGUGGGGAAUUUUGGACAAUGGGCGCAAGCCUGAUCCAGCCAUGCCGCGUGAGUGAAGGAGGCCUUCGGGUUGUAAAGCUCUUUCAGCCGGGAAGAAAAGGUUGCGACUAAUAAUCGCAAUUCAUGACGGUACCGGAAGAAGAAGCACCGGCUAACUACGUGCCAGCAGCCGCGGUAAUACGUAGGGUGCGAGCGUUAAUCGGAAUUACUGGGCGUAAAGGGUGCGCAGGCGGUUUUGUAAGUCAGAUGUGAAAUCCCCGGGCUUAACCUGGGAACU
This 423-nucleotide ribosomal RNA is filed under the name uncultured bacterium. RNAcentral describes it as "bacterial SSU rRNA". It matches the Rfam family "Bacterial small subunit ribosomal RNA", at positions 207 to 622 of the family's 1533-position model. The record is from RNAcentral.